ACGGCGAGUGAAGCGGCACAGCUCAAAUUUGAAAUCUCGUCCCCAGGGCCCGAGUUGUAAUUUGUAGAGGAUGCUUUUGGCGCGGCGCCUUCCGAGUUCCCUGGAACGGGACGCCAUAGAGGGUGAGAGCCCCGUCUGGUCGGAUGCCUAGCCUCUGUAAAGCUCCUUCGACGAGUCGAGUAGUUUGGGAAUGCUGCUCAAAAUGGGAGGUAUAUGUCUUCUAAAGCUAAAUAUUGGCCAGAGACCGAUAGCGCACAAGUAGAGUGAUCGAAAGAUGAAAAGCACUUUGAAAAGAGGGUUAAAAAGUACGUGAAAUUGUUGAAAGGGAAGCGCCCAUGACCAGACUUGGGCCCGGUGAAUCAUCCAGCGUUCUCGCUGGUGCACUUUGCCGGGCACAGGCCAGCAUCAGUUUGGCGCGGGGGAUAAAGGCUCUGGGAAUGUGGCUCCCUCGGGAGUGUUAUAGCCCACUGCGCAAUACCCUGCGCCGGACUGAGGUACGCGCAUCGCAAGGAUGCUGGCGUAAUGGUCAUCAGCGACCCGUCUUGAAACACGGACCAAGGAGUCGUCUUCGUAUGCGAGUGUUCGGGUGUCAAACCCCUACGCGUAAUGAAAGUGAACGCAGGUGAGAGCUUCGGCGCAUCAUCGACCGAUCCUGAUGUUCUCGGAUGGAUUUGAGUAAGAGCAUACGGGGCCGGACCCGAAAGAAGGUGAACUAUGCCUGUAUAGGGUGAAGCCAGAGGAAACUCUGGUGGAGGCUCGCAGCGGUUCUGACGUGCGAAUCGAUCGUCAAAUAUGGGCAUGGGGGCGAAAGACUAAUCGAA
Molecule: ribosomal RNA, 821 nt
Filed under: Blackwellomyces pseudomilitaris
Lineage: Eukaryota; Fungi; Ascomycota; Sordariomycetes; Hypocreales; Cordycipitaceae
Description: LSU rRNA
Rfam family: Eukaryotic large subunit ribosomal RNA
Source: RNAcentral